AUUGAACGCUGGCGGCAGGCCUAACACAUGCAAGUCGAGCGGAUGAAGGGAGCUUGCUCCCUGAUUUAGCGGCGGACGGGUGAGUAAUGCCUAGGAAUCUGCCUGGUAGUGGGGGAUAACGUUCCGAAAGGAACGCUAAUACCGCAUACGUCCUACGGGAGAAAGCAGGGGACCUUCGGGCCUUGCGCUAUCAGAUGAGCCUAGGUCGGAUUAGCUAGUUGGUGAGGUAAUGGCUCACCAAGGCGACGAUCCGUAACUGGUCUGAGAGGAUGAUCAG
Molecule: ribosomal RNA, 277 nt
Filed under: uncultured bacterium
Lineage: Bacteria
Description: partial 16S ribosomal RNA
Rfam family: Bacterial small subunit ribosomal RNA
Source: RNAcentral